CCCUUAGAUGUCCUGGGCCGCACGCGCGCUACACUGUUGCAUGCAACGAGUUUAUAACCUUGGCCUGAAAGGUCUGGGUAAUCUUUUGAACGUGCAUCGUGAUAGGGAUAGAUUAUUGCAAUUGUUAAUCUUGAACGAGGAAUUCCUAGUAAACGCGAGUCAUCAGCUCGCAUUGAUUACGUCCCUGCCCUUUGUACACACCGCCCGUCGCACCUACCGAUUGAAUGGUUCGGUGAAGAUCUCGGACUUCGAUAUUUAUUCUUUAUUGAGUUUAUAUUGUGGGAAGUUAUCUAAACCUCAUCAUUUAGAGGAAGGUGAAGUCGUAACA
RNAcentral lists this ribosomal RNA (328 nucleotides) under uncultured eukaryote. RNAcentral's name for it is "partial 18S ribosomal RNA". It matches the Rfam family "Eukaryotic small subunit ribosomal RNA", at positions 1470 to 1796 of the family's 1831-position model. The record is from RNAcentral.